AACAAGGAUUCCCCUAGUAACUGCGAGUGAAGCGGGAAAAGCUCAAAUUUAAAAUCUAAUGGUCCUUGGCCAUUCGAGUUGUAAUUUAGAGAAGCGUCUUCCGCGCCAGACCAUGUACAAGUCUCCUGGAACGGAGCGUCGUAGAGGGUGAGAAUCCCGUCUUUGACAUGGACCCUUGGUGCUUCUGUGAUGCGCUCUCAAAGAGUCGAGUUGUUUGGGAAUGCAGCUCAAAAUGGGUGGUGAACUCCAUCUAAGGCUAAAUAUUGGCGAGAGACCGAUAGCGAACAAGUACCGUGAGGGAAAGAUGAAAAGCACUUUGGAAAGAGAGUGAAACAGUACGUGAAAUUGUUGAAAGGGAAACACUUGAAGUCAGUCGCGUCGAUCGAGACUCAGCCUCGCCUUGGCUUGGCGUACUUCUCGACUUGACGGGCCAGCAUCAAUUUCGUCCCUCGGAUAAUGGCAGGGGAAAGGUGGCACCUUCACGGGUGUGUUAUAGUCUCUUGUCGCAUGCGAGGGGUGGGAUUGAGGAACUCAGCACGCGCCUCGCGGCGUCGGGGCUUCGGCCCACGUUACGUGCUCAGGAUGCCGGCGUAAUGGCUUUAAAUGACCCGUCUUGAAACACGGACCAAGGAGUCUAACAUGCCUGCGAGUGUUCGGGUGGAAAACCCGUGUGCGUAAUGAAAGUAAAAGUUGGGACCUCUGUCGUGGAGGGCACCGACGCCCGGACCAGACCUUCUGUGACGGAUCUGCGGUAGAGCAUGCAUGUUGGGACCCGAAAGAUGGUGAACUAUGCCUGAAUAGGGUGAAGCCAGAGGAAACUCUGGUGGAGGCUCGUAGCGAUUCUGACGUGCAAAUCGAUCGUCAAAUUUGGGUAUAGGGGCGAAAGACUAAUCGAACCAUCUAGUAGCUGGUUCCCG
This 917-nucleotide ribosomal RNA is filed under the name Lactifluus subvolemus. RNAcentral describes it as "eukaryotic LSU rRNA". It matches the Rfam family "Eukaryotic large subunit ribosomal RNA", at positions 67 to 960 of the family's 3401-position model. The record is from RNAcentral. Lineage: Eukaryota; Fungi; Basidiomycota; Agaricomycetes; Russulales; Russulaceae.